This 463-nucleotide long non-coding RNA is filed under the name Mytilus galloprovincialis (Mediterranean mussel). Lineage: Eukaryota; Metazoa; Mollusca; Bivalvia; Mytilida; Mytilidae. The record is from RNAcentral.
CUGCAAUUAUAUUGUAUGCUGGCGAAACAAAACUAUCCAUAGCCGCUGCAUGUUUAUGCACCUGUCCUGAUUGAUUGACCGAGGGGCAUGUCGUUUAGCAGUUAUCGUUUGUUGAUGUUGUUCAUUGGUAUUUUCCCGUUUGGAUAUACAUGAUAUAUAAAUUAGAUCGUUGGUUUUCCUGUUCGAAUUGUGUACGCUAAUAAUUUUGGGAUCCUUUAUAGCCUGCUGUUUGGUCUGUAUCAAAGCCCUGUGUAAAAGGCCGUACUUUGACCUGUGUUUGUUAUUAUCAGUUGAGAACCAACCCUCCCUCAGACAAGGGGUCAUUUUACUGAUGUAGAAAAGAAAAUAGAAAUACCAAGGAUUUGUAUAGUUCUUCUAUACAAAACCUUUGAAAACUUAGAAUUUUGUACUCAAAAAGAGAAGAGUUACAUCAUAUUUUAAACAACUUUUUCUAAAAGAGGGG